This 152-nucleotide unclassified non-coding RNA is filed under the name uncultured Xylaria. Its description in RNAcentral is "sequence contains ITS2". Lineage: Eukaryota; Fungi; Ascomycota; Sordariomycetes; Xylariales; Xylariaceae. The record is from RNAcentral.
CAACCCUUAAGCCCUGUUGCUUAGCGUUGGGGCCUACAGCGAUGUAGCCCCCUAAAGUCAGUGGCGGAGUCGGUCUCACACUCUAGACGUAGUAACUAUAUUAUCGUCUGUAGUUGGGUCGGUCCCUGCCGUAAAACCCCCACAUCUAAAGG